AACGAACGCUGGCGGCGUGCCUAAUACAUGCAAGUCGAACGCUUCUUUUUCCACCGGAGCUUGCUCCACCGGGAAAAGAGGAGUGGCGAACGGGUGAGUAACACGUGGGUAACCUGCCCAUCAGAAGGGGAUAACACUUGGAAACAGGUGCUAAUACCGUAUAACAAUCGAAACCGCAUGGUUUCGUUUUGAAAGGCGCUUUACGGUGCCGCUGAUGGAUGGACCAGCGGUGCAUUAGCUAGUUGGUGAGGUAACGGCUCACCAAGGCCACGAUGCAUAGCCGACCUGAGAGGGUGAUCGGCCACAUUGGGAAUGAGACACGGCCCAAACUCCUACGGGAGGCAGCAGUAGGGAAUCUUCGGCAAUGGACGAAAGUCUGACCGAGCAACGCCGCGUGAGUGAAGAAGGUUUUCGGAUCGUAAAACUCUGUUGUUAGAGAAGAACAAGGGUGAGAGUAACUGUUCACCCCUUGACGGUAUCUAACCAGAAAGCCACGGCUAACUACGUGCCAGCCGCCGCAGUAA
This 524-nucleotide ribosomal RNA is filed under the name uncultured bacterium. RNAcentral's name for it is "partial 16S ribosomal RNA". It matches the Rfam family "Bacterial small subunit ribosomal RNA", at positions 29 to 523 of the family's 1533-position model. The record is from RNAcentral.